GAGGCCUUGAAAUGGGAAUUGAGCCAAAGGGGAGGGAUUCCCGGUAGGGGGAAUGGUGGGAUGGGGGACCCCAGGGGAAGGGACUUUUGGUUUUAAUGCGCUGGGACGAAAGCGGGGAGCGACCGGAUUGAUACCUGUUAGUCCCCCCGUAACGAUGAGGCUAAGUUUAGGGGUUUCGCCCCUUAGUGUGCAGCUACGCAUUAGCACUCGCCUGGGAGUCGGUCGAAGACUGAACUCAAGGAAUGACGGGGCCGCACAAGCGGUGAGCAUGGGUUAAUUGAAGCAACGCGAAGACCUUCCCGGUCUGACAUCUCUGCAAUCCUGAGAUAGACGUCCCUUCGGGGCAGAGUGACAGGUGUGCAUGGUGUUGUCAGCUCGUGUCGUGAGAUGUGGGUUAGUCCCGCAACGAGCGCAACCCUGAUCUUAGUGCCAGCAUUCAGUGGGCACUCUAAGGUGACUGCCGGUGACAAACCGGAGGAAGGUGGGGAUGACGUCAAAUCAUCAUGCCCCUUAUGACCUGGGCUACACACGUGCUACAAUGGACAGAACAAAGGGCAGCGAAACCGCGAGGUUAAGCCAAUCCCACAAAUCUGUUCUCAGUUCGGAUCGCAGUCUGCAACUCGACUGCGUGAAGCUGGAAUCGCUAGUAAUCGCGGAUCAGCAUGCCGCGGUGAAUACGUUCCCGGGCCUUGUACACACCGCCCGUCACACCACGAGAGGGGGAACACCCGAAGUCGGUGAGGUAACCUU
This 750-nucleotide ribosomal RNA is filed under the name Bacillus sp. E215. Its description in RNAcentral is "bacterial SSU rRNA". It matches the Rfam family "Bacterial small subunit ribosomal RNA", at positions 621 to 1442 of the family's 1533-position model. Lineage: Bacteria; Bacillati; Bacillota; Bacilli; Caryophanales; Bacillaceae. The record is from RNAcentral.